This 274-nucleotide ribosomal RNA is filed under the name uncultured bacterium. RNAcentral describes it as "partial 16S ribosomal RNA". It matches the Rfam family "Bacterial small subunit ribosomal RNA", at positions 523 to 796 of the family's 1533-position model. The record is from RNAcentral.
CUACGGAGGGUGCAAGCGUUACUCGGAAUCACUGGGCGUAAAGCGCGCGCAGGCGGCUAUUUAAGUUGGAUGUGAAAGCCUACGGCUCAACCGUAGAACUGCAUCCAAAACUAUUUAGCUAGAGUGUGGGAGAGGAAGAUGGAAUUAGUUGUGUAGGGGUAAAAUCCGUAGAGAUAACUAGGAAUACCAAAAGCGAAGGCAAUCUUCUGGAACAUUACUGACGCUGAGGUGCGAAAGCAUGGGGAGCAAACAGGAUUAGAUACCCCAGUAGUCC